RNAcentral lists this transfer RNA (509 nucleotides) under Coleofasciculus chthonoplastes SAG 2208. RNAcentral describes it as "16S-23S ribosomal RNA intergenic spacer". The stretch from base 213 to 285 matches the Rfam family "tRNA". The record is from RNAcentral. Lineage: Bacteria; Bacillati; Cyanobacteriota; Cyanophyceae; Coleofasciculales; Coleofasciculaceae.
UUUUCAGGGAGACCAGGUGAAACAAUCAGACCCAAAUAGAUAACUGAUUGAUAUAACCAAUCCCAGGUCGUGCAAGGAAGAAGUAGAUUGGCUUUCAAACUGAUUUCGGUUCGGGAAAUGGGCUAUUAGCUCAGGUGGUUAGAGCGCACCCCUGAUAAGGGUGAGGUCCCUGGUUCGAGUCCAGGAUGGCCCACCUGUUUCCGUCAGGAAGAGGGGGUAUAGCUCAGCUGGUAGAGCGCUGCCUUUGCAAGGCAGAUGUCAGCGGUUCGAGUCCGCUUACCUCCAUACUUCCCAGUUAAGGAGUAUAGGAGCGGAGAAAAAAGCCAGUAGCCACAAGCCAACGGAAAAAAAGCAUUCAGCACCUGUACUUUUUAAUUGAAAAAGUCAGACUGCUGAACGUGAAGUUCAGUCAGAACCUUGAAAACUGCAUAGCGAGAGAAAAAGUCAAUUUAGUAAGAACAAUGCCAAAUAAAAAGGCGUUUGUGUCUUACACAGACAAAAGUAUAGAU